AGCGAACGCUGGCGGCAGGCUUAACACAUGCAAGUCGAACGGGCACUUCGGUGUCAGUGGCAGACGGGUGAGUAACACGUGGGAACGUACCUUUUGGUUCGGAACAACUGAGGGAAACUUCAGCUAAUACCGGAUAAGCCCUUACGGGGAAAGAUUUAUCGCCGAAAGAUCGGCCCGCGUCUGAUUAGCUAGUUGGUAGGGUAAUGGCCUACCAAGGCGACGAUCAGUAGCUGGUCUGAGAGGAUGAUCAGCCACAUUGGGACUGAGACACGGCCCAAACUCCUACGGGAGGCAGCAGUGGGGAAUAUUGGACAAUGGGGGCAACCCUGAUCCAGCCAUGCCGCGUGAGUGAUGAAGGCCCUAGGGUUGUAAAGCUCUUUUGUACGGGAAGAUAAUGACGGUACCGUAAGAAUAAGCCCCGGCUAACUUCGUGCCAGCAGCCGCCGCAG
Molecule: ribosomal RNA, 449 nt
Filed under: uncultured bacterium
Lineage: Bacteria
Description: partial 16S ribosomal RNA
Rfam family: Bacterial small subunit ribosomal RNA
Source: RNAcentral